UUUCUUCAAUUAGCUUUUUGCUGAUUUUUAGUUUCUUUAAGUUCUUCAAGGAGUAGGAGUCUUCAGAAGUCUUGUUGAGCUACGGAGCGAGAAUCAACUUAUCAGUAAGUCCGUGGUGUUUUUUCUAUCCUUGUUUUAUUUUCCCUUAUCUUUAUUUCUGCAUCCCUUUUGGGAUUAUGUAUUCAAUUAGAGGGAGGAGUUUUUUUAUGUGGUUAAGUUUCGAUAUUGCAUAACGUUGAGUAGGUUAUAGG
Molecule: long non-coding RNA, 251 nt
Filed under: Carica papaya (papaya)
Lineage: Eukaryota; Viridiplantae; Streptophyta; Magnoliopsida; Brassicales; Caricaceae
Description: long non-coding RNA (CPAP_LNC000301)
Source: RNAcentral